This 529-nucleotide ribosomal RNA is filed under the name uncultured bacterium. Its description in RNAcentral is "partial 16S ribosomal RNA". It matches the Rfam family "Bacterial small subunit ribosomal RNA", at positions 355 to 900 of the family's 1533-position model. The record is from RNAcentral.
CGGGGAAUAUUGCACAAUGGGCGAAAGCCUGAUGCAGCAACGCCGCGUGAGUGAUGAAGGUCUUCGGAUUGUAAAGCUCUGUCUUUUGGGACGAUAAUGACGGUACCAAAGGAGGAAGCCACGGCUAACUACGUGCCAGCAGCCGCGGUAAUACGUAGGUGGCGAGCGUUGUCCGGAUUUACUGGGCGUAAAGGGUGCGUAGGCGGAUGUUUAAGUGAGAUGUGAAAUACCCGGGCUUAACUUGGGUGCUGCAUUUCAAACUGGAUAUCUAGAGUGCAGGAGAGGAGAAUGGAAUUCCUAGUGUAGCGGUGAAAUGCGUAGAGAUUAGGAAGAACACCAGUGGCGAAGGCGAUUCUCUGGACUGUAACUGACGCUGAGGCACGAAAGCGUGGGUAGCAAACAGGAUUAGAUACCCUGGUAGUCCACGCCGUAAACGAUGAGUACUAGGUGUAGGAGGUAUCGACCCCUUCUGUGCCGCAGUAAACACAUUAAGUACUCCGCCUGGGAAGUACGAUCGCAAGAUUAAAAC